UUACAAAACUAUUGUUUUUUUAAUUUUUCAUUUAUUCAUUUUGCACAAAGGUAAUAACAUGUUUCACUAAUCCCUACUAAAAUUUUUGAUCUUAUAAUUUUUUUAGAUGUUUUUAAUUGGUGUCAACACGCGGUGGUGGGUACAUGUGUAGUUGUCAUUGAGUUAUUAUUAAUUCCAUACUUUACUGUCCACCUGCAAGAAUUUGAACAAGAAAAAGCCUGAUAUUGUGUUUUAUGUAAAACGAAACGUUGCAACAAAUUCUUUUUAACCUUUUAAGGAAGUUGGUUCUAUCGUCUUUAAAUUUUAUUACAAUAAGUAAAUAUAUUGAUUAAACGAUUGUAUAUUAUGUUUUACACUACCAUUUGUAACAAAUAUAUGUACUUCGAUGUUAAUUAUUCAUUAAAAAGAUAGGUGAGCUUGUUUUUCAAUAAAACUAAA
Molecule: long non-coding RNA, 438 nt
Organism: Tribolium castaneum (red flour beetle)
Lineage: Eukaryota; Metazoa; Arthropoda; Insecta; Coleoptera; Tenebrionidae
Exons: 3
Source: RefSeq, a predicted model, not a curated record